UUGCCCAGUUGGAAACUGCCUGUGAUACUGACCAAAGCUCGCAGGAAUCUCAGUCAUUCGAGAUCUUUGCUAUCUCAGUGCUUCAUGUCAAGAGCUCCCUGGCAGCGUCUGCUUGCUGCCAGCGAGGUUUCCAGCAGGGAACAGCGCAUGUUGUGCUUUCUCCCUUAGAUGGAAGAAGCGGAGCUACGCGGGACGAAAAGCAGGGCUCAGCCCCUUGGCCGGCGCUCGCGGCACGCAGCACCGACACACUGGGAGCCGUGCCCACGCCUGCCAAGCUCAGGGCUGCGGCCUGUGCGGGCUGAAGCACGGCAAGGGCUGGCACCCAGGGGCACCGCUCGCCCCGCUGGUGAUGCAACCAGACAAACACUCCCUGGGUAAAACCAGCAAGGUCCAAUCCUGCCAGGAUCCCUGCGUCUGCUCACUCAGGGACCACGGCCCUUGGGGCAGCCCAAAGCAGGAGAACUGAGGCGGACAGGAAUAAUGAAAAGUCUCCUAAGCACCCCCUUGAUUUCUAUAACCGUUGUGGACGCGACGUCUUUGGGAACUGCUGGACACACUGUGGAUACAAAUGCGUCUACUCACUGAGUCCUGUGUUCACAAAGAGAGUUAAGAGAGCUUUUCAGAGACACCUCUGAGCUGAAAGGCUCUUGCAAAUGCGUGUUUGACUAGUUGGGAAGAAAGGGAAUCCGUCUUGGUUACGGAAAAGAUUGGAACCACAAAAAAGACAAGGACAAGAGACUUUAAAGAGAUGCCUCGGAGCAAAAUGAAGUUGUACGUGAGACAGGGGAGCUCUGAACUAUUAUAUAUCCCUCCAGGAGACUGCAGAGUAAGAUGGCAGCCCUCCUGCUCUGCCAGAGGCUGCCUUGCUUACCUAAGUGAUCGCACGUAAGGGGAGCUGUGUGAAACACACAACUUUCACAUUUUACUUUUAUCCCAAGUUGGAAAACCAACUAUUUUACACUGAAACUGUAUCAGCUGAAAUUCUGGGUACCCGAAAUCAAACUUUACUGGUUUAUGUCAAAUACAAGCGCAGGACAGUCUCAAGCAGCUUUCUUAAAUCUGUUUUGAGGCAGAAAGACCAAGUGACAGUGUUGGAAAAAUUCUAGUGACCACGUCAUUUAAAAGCCUACCGUACGAGAACAAAUCCAAAAUACAGCAGAGUGCAUGUUUAAACUACUAUGUCUACACGAGCUAAGACAAAAUACUGUAAUUUAAAACUUUGUGAUAAGAUCUCUAACUUUGAAGAGAAAAAAAUUAACCACGUAGAGAGCAAUGUACACAAACCUUUUGGUGGUUUUAUCUUUGGCUGUAAGGUUUGGAAGUUCAAAGCCCAACUGUUUAUCUUCUACAGCACACAUCUUUCACCGUCUCCUCUGCCACCUCACCCCUCUAUUUAUUUUCAAAUUCUGUCACUUUACCCUUUGUCAAUAUCCUAGAUGUGUCCUUGCAGACAAAACCUUGUUCAGGCACUCCUUGCCUCUGCCAAAACCUGUAUCAUCAGAUAACUUUUCUCUCUGUUGGUAAAUACAGACACCGGUCAAACAAUUUCUCUGCUUCCUACACGAGAACAAAAGAGCCGCCUCAUGUGACGAGUCCAUAUUCAUCUUGUACCAGCAGCCAGAAGUUGUAUCAAAUUCAAUUUGUCACACCUCCCCUUCUCUAAAGUGCUUCUUCUUACCCUUUGACUUUUCGUAGCCCUAUAAAAAUAAGGAUGGCUACGGGUAAGUCUAUGUCAACCAGGACGAGCGACGCUGGAACACAUUUUUAACGAUCGGAGCUAAAAGCACUGGCCUGCAUGCAAAUCAUUCACCUACUGCUGUGCCUGAGCUCCAAGGACACACCGCACAGUCACGGUGCUCCUAGGUUUUGUGUCUGCGUCUUCCUCUUUAAAUGGGGCAUUAUGAAGAUGUUUGACUGAUGCUUCUUGGCAACAGUGACUCUCUAUUUUAUUCCCACAGCUUGACACAGACAAGACAUUCGCAUGGAGGUAGCUCUGCUGGUGAGGCUAAAUGACCGUGAUGGAAACUAAUACCCAGUUAGGAUGACAUUUAUAGUGCUGACAGCUCAGUGUUGCGCAGAGAUCAUUAAAAUAAUUUCAUAGGUCACCCAAACACUUGUAGUUCUAAAUUAAAAGAUGAGUAAAACCAUAUUUAGACUUUUUGUCUACAUAUCCUAGAAAAAUCAGGAAGUUCAUAUUAUACCAGUUGAAACCAAUAUAAUCCAAAAUAAAUCAUGUCUUCCAAGCAGUUCCAUAUGACAGCGUAAUAACUACUGUUCUGCCCUACAGCUUUAAUUGGUUCGAGUCCAGCCUUUCCCUCACUCCUCGAGCACGCAGUGCUCCAACGCUGGGACUGGAGGCCCACAGAGGCUGUGAGAGCCUCCUCUCCUCUCAACAAAAGCAAUUUCCAGCUUCACGGCCACCAGCAGGACUCCACCACAGGCUGUGUGGGGCAGCGAGCCUGCCAUUCACUGCUCCUAUCCAGCAACCCCUGCGUUCACCAUGGAUCUCUCCUGACCCAUAUGGAAAUAAUUUUUGACCACUUCUGAACAGGCGAGAUUUGAAUUGAUGACCUGGAGGUGAAAAAGCGCCGUAUCACAUUACCAUCCGGUUCCAACUUAGUUCUGUUAGAGUGUCUUCCCUCUCUUCUUGCUCCAGCAGCUCCCACCAUACAGACCAAAAAACCAGGGUCCUGCUUCAGAGACCAUUCCUGGUGGUAGCACCAACAGUGGCUGCCUGGAGCCCAUCAGGGCUGCAGGACUGGCCUCUGUGGCCUCAUCUCUGGACCUGACUGCCAGCAGCUCCUGGAUCUCCCUGAACUUUGCUCUGGUCUCCAGUGAAGUAACACAAUAGGGCGGUAAAGUCCCAAACCAGACCUGCAAAAUCGGCUACUGUUUGGAAAGUAAACACUGAACUUCAGUGUUUUAGCUGAAAAUAAAACUAUUGCCAGGUAACAUUUAUCUUUCUGGGCUUUCUCAUUCUCCUCCUCAUUUUGAGGUCACAGAGACCUUAACUCAUUUGGUAACAGUGUUCUUGCGUCACACAGAAACUGGAAAACAUGCACGGCCCGUUUUGCACAAUACAGGCUUAGAUACGAAUAAUCAAAUUCAUUUCCAGGUCUAUGACAGCCACUGCAAACGAAUGGCCUCAGUCUAGAGCUAGGGACAGAAAAAGACCUUAAGUGGCAGUGACGGAAAGCAAGGAGCAAACUUUGCUCCGCUGGGUAGCCCAGGGAUUUCAGCAGUGUCCUGGCAGGGAGAGGUGACAGUUCUGCCCCACUGCCCACGUCUCACCACAGUGCUGCCCUGGCCACACUGCAGCCCGAAGCUGCACUUCACAAGAGUCCCUGAAAAACACACUGUUUCUGUGCAUUUUGCAGUGAUGUGUGACCCAGGGGGAUGCGACACCUUCGGGCAGUGCUGAGGCUGCCUGGGGCGGACACCCAGCAGUUGCACCGGGCAAGCACUCCCUGCACUUUCUUAGAGGCACAGAGCCAGGUUGUGAGCGCACCGAGCACCAAAGCCCUUAGGCUCACAGGGAACUGAGUGUUUGAUUCUACUCAUCUUCUGCUGAUGAGUGCUUUUCUUCAUCUUUUCUUGCAAAGCAAAACCCCUUUUGGAUCUGGGAAGCUCCUCCUCGUGUUCUCCUGAAGGAUACCCUCACUCCCUUGGGUGCCCAAGCACUUGGCUGUUGUGUGAGCCUGUCCCAGUGGGCCCUGCCUAGAAAACCUGCAGGCUUCACCCACAAUGGAAAACAAUCCAGCCCAGGUGCAGCCUGGUGUGCAUCCGUACGACCUUUCCUCCUCCCAGACGGAGCCAUCUCUUCCACACCGCCUGGAGGAAGAAGCCCCAGAGCCUGUGCUGUUUCCUGAACCUCUGCACUGGCAGAGGACAAGACAGUGCCACAGGGCAGGCUCCCAGCUGCCAGCACAGACAGUGCUUCAGGCUGUGCCCAGGCACUGUUCAGACACAUCUCCAGACCCUGUCAGGAAGGAGGAAUCUGUCCCCUCAUCAGCUCAAACCGAGGUAAGGACACAAGGAACCCAGGCAGCCUCUUUUGCAUAUCCAUUUCUGACCCUUUAGAAAUGGGCAGUAUCUUGUAUAGAGCGUAUGUGGUCAUCCCCGGGCCUGGCCCUGAAGCCCUGCAGGAGCUUCCCCGUCCCAUCCAACCCAUUCCCUCCGUGACCUCCCAUUGCCCCGUGAUGGCUGGGCAGGGGUUUCCUCCCAAGAAGAGGCACACGGCGCGAGGAAGGCGGGUCGACUGUGCCUCGCUGAUUUUCUGCAGCUGAGGAUCUGGCCUGAGGCACUUCUCUUGAACUUCUUUGUCUGAGCACAUCCAUUGGUAGCCACAUGGUUGGCUGGGGAUGUUUUUGUACGUCUGGGAUACACAGAUGUCUGAUAGCUGUCUGUCUAUCGAAGAGAUUUGAUAAUUAUUACUGCCUCCAGGAAACUGAUGCUGCUAAGAGUGUCUGUCAGAGAGUCCAAACAGCCUGCUGACAUCCUGGCACAGUUUCAUAAAGAAGUCAGUGUCCAAAAUAGAAAUACAUUUUCUAUGUACUUGAAAUAUACCAGGGGCUUGGUGGCGAGUUGUUGUAAUUAAUCCACUUCCUGGCCUGAUAUAUUUUGGGAUCAUUCUGGUGCGUGGUAUGUUAAAUACUGAACUCAGUUCAUACUGUUGGUUUUGAAUGGAACUUACAUUCAUUAUGUCCAAAUGAGUGAUUUGUAGGCACUCCUUGCAAAGCAGAAAAAAGCUUUGGAUUGCAUUUCUGGUGUGCUUUUACCAUUCACUCAGUAAUUUCAUCAUACACAUCACUGUGAAAUCUGCGGGACACAGUAACACAUUUGAAAGGUGGCAGCAAAACUAUUUUCUGUUAUUCAGCUAGAAGUCAUUUGCUAAAAGACUGCAAAGACAAAGUCUACAAUAUCGUACCAUCAGCCUCUUGACGGCAGAAGAAAUAUGAAUAAUGUCUGUGUGCACAUUGCUUCUGGUCUGAAAGAGAGAGAAAGAAGGGGAACAAGGGAGAGGGAGGGAGAAAAAGAUGCUGCUCUUGAUAUUCCUCAUGUCGUUUUGGAGUCGUGCUAUUUACGUCCUGGACAGAUUGAAUUUAGCCCAGCCUAGUAGAGAAGAAUUUUAACCCUAAUUUUUAAAGGACAAUUACCUGACUGUCUAGCUACAGUUAUUUAAUAGCCUUUUGGAAGCUACAACUGACCUGAAGAUCCUACUUGCUGCUCGGAUCUAACAGACAUGAACAUCAAAGGUAUGUGCGUUAGGUAUGCAUGCAAAUCCCCUGCAGCUUUUUUCAUCAUGGUGCUGCAACCCGAUACCCCAGCGGGAAUGCAGUGCCUACAGCACCCCGACACAGCCCCGCUCCCCGACACAGCUCGCAGGGGUCACCUCGCUCACGGAGCACCGUACGCACCAGGAAAGCAGCCUGGCUUUAGAUGGUACAGUUCUCAGGGACGUUUUACCAAACGCAGUUCAUUUCUGAUAAUCAGCCUGCUGUAUACUUGCUCUCAAUCCCUAAGAUUUUCCCUCAAACUUUCCCUACUUUGCUGUUGCUGUUGUUUCUUUCUAGGUGACAAAACAAGCUGAUUUUUUUGCGUUGCAGAAAAACAGAGUAAAAUCCUGUCCUUGGCUAAAACACAUCCUUAGUUGCAGAGUCUACCCAAAGAGGUAAAUGCUUCCAUCUCCCAGCUAGUCACAUUUUACUUUGAUUGGACCCAAUGUGAUUUGGGAGGCGCCAGACAGGCACAAGUUGGUAGCAUCUGUGGUUAGGUGGUCCUGGCAGCAGAGGUGAAAUCAGCUUGCUGGGUGAAGGAGAAGGAUAGCUGGCCUCCAGACGCUGCUGUGGUUGGCACAGAAAGAUGUAUGUCUUCUGGGGAUUAGGCUACACGAUGGGUAGCCAGUUUGCUCAAUUUGCAGCUGGACGUAAUCCGCCUCCACGAGCUCAGGUAUUGUACCAGCACUGGAGUGAUUAAUGGCAGCUGCAAGACUAUUUUAGCGUUGGCAGCAGUGUGCCAAGGACACCCUGAUAUCAACUCCAGGUAUUAACAGGUAGGGAAGAUACAGAUGGUGGGGAGCAAGGUCCUUCUGCUGGUGGCGAGCAGGCUGCUCCCAGGCACCUCAAUGUCCCCGUGUCCCCUGCCAGCAGCUUCCCAGCCCAGUCUCCAGCAAGGCUUUAUCUUGAGAAGGGAGCUGGGGAGCACAGGGUGCACCCUGAGGUGAGCUCUGCAGGCAGCCCCACGGACACUAGAGGUAGCUGUGAGCCCAGUGCUCACCCCGGCAAACCCCAUGGCCAGCAAGGAGGCCACCAGUGAAGGAGGGAGGGCCAGCAUUUGAGAGAGACGUGAGGAAACCAGAGUACAGCUCAGGGCAGCGUGUGUACACCUAGCAGCUUCUGGAAGUCUUUGGCUGAUCAUGAAAAAGAAGGAAGAAAGAGGAAGGCCCCUGGACUGCACUGCCUCGGGGGGCGGAGGAUCACACCCCUAGCCGCAAGCAGAGAAACAACCUGCCGCUCCCGGCUGAUGACAGCCGGACCCGCAGGAGCUCGUGCUCUUCCUGAAGAAGAGCUCAAGCGAUCUCUCAGCACGGCAAUCUGUGCAGAAGCAGUCAAAAAUGCAACACUUUGCUAACUCUAAACUGAUUUGCAAGCCUGAAACUGAUGAUUUCGUAAGUCUUCCAGAUGCACCAUCAUCGUUCCAGAAAGUUUCCUGACUGACAAGAAAGCCAAGCCAGGAUUUCUGUCAGAUCUCCGUAUCAGGAUAUUAUUAAUAAAUGUUGUGUACCUAAGGGGGAAUCCCCCUAAUAUUG
Molecule: non-coding RNA, 6808 nt
Organism: Anas platyrhynchos (mallard)
Lineage: Eukaryota; Metazoa; Chordata; Aves; Anseriformes; Anatidae
Source: RefSeq, a predicted model, not a curated record